UGUGUCCGAUUUCGACAGUUUGGAUUCAUUGUUCAAGGAAACUUUGAACACAAACUAGAAUAAAAUAAACUUUAACUAGGAAGAAUAUUAUUGUGGACAUCUAAAAUGAGGAAGAAUUGAUUUAUGGAUAUCUGAAAAACACAUUCAUCCAUCCAUUGUCUAUAUCGGGUUAUUCUUGCAGAGGAUAAUGCCCAGUGGCCACUGGAAAUGGGCCACGGCCUUGCAAGGACAAGCAGGUAUAGACAAUGGAUGGAUAGAAAAACAUUCUGUCUUAUUAAGAAAUGUUAACCUUGAUUUUGAGAUAUCUUGUCCUUACUAGUACUACUAGAAUAGCGAUCCAGUUGUGGAUAUGUUUAAAUUUGAGUAGUAAAUCAUAAUAUUGCAAUCUAAAAUGUUAUGUUAGGUGGAGUUUUGCAUUAAAUGUUUAAAUGGCUUGCCUUAUACAUGGGCGUCAGUUUAUCAGGAGAGAAUAUAUCUUCCUCUUCACCCUAAAUGAGAUGUGUAAACAGAUAUUUUCACCUUUGAACUCACGUGUUGUUAGGCAUAAGGUGUAGCAAAACGGUAUGAACCUGUCAGGUGAUCACCAUGACAACAGACUGGAUCGAUAUCCACGCUCUCUGCCCUCAGAGGAUGCACUGCUGAAUGUCUAGCUGUCUUUUCGCUGUAUUUGUGUCCUCCAACAGGCAGAGCAAGUAAGACAGAAGCAUGCUACUUUGACAAAGUGGGACACCAGACAUCAUUCUGCUCAGUUACAGAAAAUAAGGCACAUAUUCCUUUUGUUUAUUUGAUGGAAAACCCAGUGAGAUGGGCUGUGUACACUGAAAGUCAGCUGAUUAAUUUAGCAGGAUGAGCUUCCUAAGGAGCGGAAGUAGGGUAACGGAACCAGCUCAGUUGGACAAAAAGGUAAAACCGGAAUGACUUUGGCAACACAGAAAAAGGAUGACGAAAAGAGUUAAAAGGCAACCUAAGCUUAGCUUCAGUCGAUAGGGGAACAAGGUUUGUAAAUGUGAUAAAGUGUAUUUGAGUAACCUAAAA
Molecule: long non-coding RNA, 1035 nt
Organism: Girardinichthys multiradiatus
Lineage: Eukaryota; Metazoa; Chordata; Actinopteri; Cyprinodontiformes; Goodeidae
Exons: 2
Source: RefSeq, a predicted model, not a curated record